GCUUCCAUAGCUCAGUCGGUAGAGCACUUCACUCGUAAUGAAGGGGUCGCCGGUUCAAGUCCGGCUGGGAGCU
Clostridiales bacterium CHKCI001 is the source of this 73-nucleotide transfer RNA. It matches the Rfam family "tRNA". Rfam says of the family: Transfer RNA (tRNA) molecules are approximately 80 nucleotides in length. Their secondary structure includes four short double-helical elements and three loops (D, anti-codon, and T loops). Further hydrogen bonds mediate the characteristic L-shaped molecular structure. tRNAs have two regions of fundamental functional importance: the anti-codon, which is responsible for specific mRNA codon recognition, and the 3' end, to which the tRNAs corresponding amino acid is attached (by aminoacyl-tRNA synthetases). tRNAs cope with the degeneracy of the genetic code in two manners: having more than one tRNA (with a specific anti-codon) for a particular amino acid; and 'wobble' base-pairing, i.e. permitting non-standard base-pairing at the 3rd anti-codon position. NCBI's taxonomy places the organism in Bacteria, Bacillati, Bacillota, Clostridia, Eubacteriales. The record is from Rfam.